CCACCACUAGAUCCGUAACACCA
RNAcentral lists this non-coding RNA (23 nucleotides) under Arabidopsis thaliana (thale cress). The record is from RNAcentral. Lineage: Eukaryota; Viridiplantae; Streptophyta; Magnoliopsida; Brassicales; Brassicaceae.